Biomphalaria glabrata is the source of this 667-nucleotide long non-coding RNA. RefSeq lists it as uncharacterized. Lineage: Eukaryota; Metazoa; Mollusca; Gastropoda; Planorbidae. The transcript is spliced from 2 exons. The record is from RefSeq and is a predicted model, not a curated record.
CUGAACUUCGUAACCAAUUUCAUACACAUGCUCGAAGUCAACGUUAAGAAAGAGUGAAACACGCGAGCGAAAUCAAGUUACAGAUACAAGAUAUAUCUAAAGAUGGCACCCAUUAUUACAAUGCCAAUUCCACCACCGAUUCCAUCAGUUGAUGAGGACUUCAAAAUCCUGCUUCUAGUUUAACCUUAAUCACUUCCCAGAUGACGUCAAGUGUUUUCAGAAUAAUUCCGGAUUGUGAAAAUUUUUCACAAGCUAAUUUCGACUUCAAAAUUCUAUGUAUAAAUUCAAAAGCUUAACAAAUGGCAGAAAUAAUUGACAUAAAAACUCCAGUCUCCAGAAAAUCUUACACGCAAGCGAGAGAAUCAAAAAGUCUUAUAUUUGCAUAACUUCCAUUGCUUUACGGAUGGCGCCAACCAUUAUUUGAAAUGCUACAUCAGUUAAUUGAGACUUCAAAAUUCUAUUGUAUGUAUAACUCCAAUCGCUUCAGACACGGUACCAAUAAUAUUCAUUAUGAUUCCGGACACAAAACUAGUUCUAUAAGUUAAUGGUGACAUCAAAUUUCUCCUCUUUGUAUAUAUCACAACCCGUAGAGUAAGAAACUUGCCUCUAGAUUAUAAUAAUAAUAAAAAUAAAAAUAGGAUCAUUAAAUUCAAUACACAAGACGAAA